Molecule: ribosomal RNA, 255 nt
Filed under: uncultured bacterium
Lineage: Bacteria
Description: partial 16S ribosomal RNA
Rfam family: Bacterial small subunit ribosomal RNA
Source: RNAcentral
UACGAAGGGGGCGAGCGUUGUUCGGAUUUACUGGGCGUAAAGGGCGCGCAGGCGGCUCAUUUUGUCAGGCGUGAAAGCCCCGGGCUUAACCUGGGAGGUGCGUUUGAUACGGAUGGGCUAGAGUUCGGGAGAGGAGAGUGGAAUUCCCAGUGUAGAGGUGAAAUUCGUAGAUAUUGGGAAGAACACCGGUGGCGAAGGCGGCUCUCUGGACCGAGACUGACGCUGAGGCGCGAAAAGCGUGGGGAGCAAACAGGG